GUUUAAGUAGUGUAGAUAGCACUUUUGGUUUUCAUCCUAAUAGAGGGGCUUAUGCCCCCUUAAAUA
Molecule: transfer RNA, 66 nt
Filed under: Brachidontes mutabilis
Lineage: Eukaryota; Metazoa; Mollusca; Bivalvia; Mytilida; Mytilidae
Description: tRNA-Glu
Source: RNAcentral